RNAcentral lists this ribosomal RNA (468 nucleotides) under uncultured bacterium. RNAcentral describes it as "SSU rRNA". It matches the Rfam family "Bacterial small subunit ribosomal RNA", at positions 26 to 518 of the family's 1533-position model. The record is from RNAcentral.
AGGACGAACGCUGGCGGCGUGCUUAACACAUGCAAGUCGAGCGGAAAGGCCCUUCGGGGUACUCGAGCGGCGAACGGGUGAGUAACACGUGAGUAACCUGCCCCUAGCUCCGGGAUAGCUCCGGGAAACCGGAAUUAAUACCGGAUACGACCUAGGCCGACAUCGGCCAUGGUGGAAAGUUUUUCGGCUAGGGAUGGACUCGCGGCCUAUCAGCUAGUUGGUGGGGUAAAGGCCUACCAAGGCGACGACGGGUAGCCGGCCUGAGAGGGCGACCGGCCACGACUGGGACUGAGACACGGCCCAGACUCCUACGGGAGGCAGCAGUGGGGAAUUUUGCGCAAUGGGGGAACCCUGACGCAGCAACGCCGCGUGGAGGAUGAAGCCCCUUGGGGCGUAAACUCCUUUCGAUCGGGAAGAUAAUGACGGUACCGAGAGAAGAAGCCCGGCUAACUUCGUGCCAGCAGCCGC